CCCCGCUGCCUCAACCCCCCCACCACCAGGCCUCCACCACCAAUCCGCUAUGCCGCCCUCGCUCCCCCUGCCGCCGCCAUCUCCCUCUCCCUCCCUCUCCCCGAUCUCUGACCCAGCCACCACCCAUGGCACCAGCCAAAGCAGCCACCAGCUAUGGCGACGGCGAAGCUAGAGGCUGUCGGAUCCGGGAUCAGGGCGGCGCAUAGCCCCUCCUCCCGUGAGAUCCUCUGCAUCGAGCAGCUCCUCCGCCCGCUGCAUUGUCUCCCCAUCCGGAUCGAGCAGUUCCUCUUCACCCGCUCUACCGACCCCCUCCAUCAGUCGUCGCUAUGCAGUACACUUCCACCGCUUCCGCCGCCUCCCAAGUCGUCGUCCUCCCGAUCCCCUCCCCUCCCUUUCCUCUGCUCCGGGCACACCGUCUCCGUCGAGCCGGGCGCCCCAUCCACCUCUACGGGCGUCGGCGGCAUUGGUGUAUGAGCAUACAUGCGGAUCAUGGCCGGCACCAUCCUCGGCAGCGGCCACGGCUUCUACGUCAUGCACCGCAUCGAGACCUCCUACAAGGCAAGGGUGAAGGAGAGGCUGUGUCGAUGGCAAGCUGGAGUGCCUCUACCAUGGCUGGCAGUUCGAUGGCCAGGGCAAGUGCGUCAAGAUCCCACAGGUUAAUGGAGCAAUGAUGUGGUGGUAUAACAUAUCUGCGGCGGUUCUUCAAGCAGCUCUGCAAGUGGAGGAUCGCGUCCAGGGUAGAGGGAUCACAAGGACUGACAAGAUGCAGGGAAUGUGCCAACUUCCUUUGGCAAAAUCUUGCUACCUUGCCAUAGAUGGCUACUACCUUAUAGCCCAGUAUUCUACUGCUUUCUUCUAUAAUUUGUCACCCUCCACUUCCUUAGGCAAAAUUGAAAAUUAAGUUGCAGCAUUAAUUAGGUACUGCUAUAGUCUUUUUUAGACAUUUCUGCCUCCUUUUUCCCCUGUUUGCGCGAAAGAUCAUGUGUCCUUUCCAUUUGGAGUCUAUGUACGAAACACCAAUUAUCCAGUCCAUUUUUCACAAAAAGAUUAGUGUUCUUAUUUAGUCCUGAUGUUUUGGUUUAUGGAGUUGUUGAUUAUUUGGUCAGAUUUCCUUAGUUGCUUUGUGCAUGAGAAUAAGCUGAUAAGAACAGAACAUUGAUACUUUGCAUGCUAUUAGUAAAAUGAUUUAUUUUCUUUUGUCACCUUGUAUGAAUGAGUACCUCAUUUUAACUAGCUGGAGAACGAAGCAUUGUCAUAGCUGAAUUUGUGUUAUCAUUCUAAUGAACUUGUUCGUUUUCUGAAUGAAAUGUUCAUAAUAUAUUGGCUCCACAUUUUGACCUUACCUUCCAUUCCCUUCCCUGAUGUGCAGGAGCAGUUGCACGGCUGCAACAUCACCAACUCGACUCGGAUGCAGGGAGAGGAGACGCCUAGCUGCAGGGAAGCUGCAACUCUAGGUUAAGGCCUCCCUCUGCAUCUCCUUGUUUUGGUUUCCUAGGCUUGGUCCCUGAUUUGGUGCUGCUCCAAAUUUGCUUACAUGCUUGAUUUCAUUGUUUGCCAAUUAAGUUGCUUGCUUGAUGCCCCAAAAUUUAGUAGAAUUUUGUUUAUCAAUUGGUUUGGUUGGAUUUCUCCCAAGUUAACUGAAGUUGUUACAAAAUAGGUGGUUGUUGUCCAAUUUGUUCAGUAGAAUAAAAAUUGAUGGUUGGCAUGUUUUGUUUGCUAUCUUUCAUCUCACCUUGUGUUGUCAAAGUUUAUCUUCUCUUGUCAAGGUUUUCACUGUGGUAACUAUUAAUUUGGAAGAUAAAGUGAUGGCCAAUUAUAUGUAUAUAUCCACACAACAAAUAUACCGUGUUGUAUUAUGCUUAUGCUACUUGUAUCACCAGUGUUUUCUAACUCUAGCACCUAUGUAUUUCUUUACUGUCUUGCCUAACCCUGUAUUGAUAUGUAUGUUUGCUCAAAAUUAAGUACAAGUUAGGCCGCCAUGUUAAGGCUAACCUGAGAACACUUACUCUCUCUCUCUCUAUGUCUUUAUUAAGCUCGGCUAACCUUAUAGAUGUUGUCCUUCUUUCAUCUGCAGGACAAUAUCAUGCAUAUGUUUAUUUGGUUUGAUCUUUGUAUGUGUUUAUUCAGUACGAACUCUACAUGACAUGAAGUAAUUAUUUUCUAUGUUUUUCUCAACUUUUUUUCGUUGUUACUUGAUACAUACUUAGUUUGUAGUUAAAGUUGUGGGUUAACGAUGGUGAUUUUGUUCUACUUGAAUGCAUUGGUACCCCCCCCCCCUCAUCUAGUGCACGGAUGCAACGGUGGCAAGAAGAUCAUGGCUGUGUGCAUCAUCAAGCACACCAUGGCGAUAAUUCACCUCCUCACAGAUGCUAACUCAAUCCAAAUCAUCGCGAUGCUAUCAUCCUUAGGGUGACCGUGGAAGGCAUAUACUGUUCUGUUGGCCCAGUCCUGACAAGAGUAGGUGCCUACUUUGUGAUUGUUAUCGAAGGAGUUCCAUGCUGAAGAACAUAGCUUGUAACUGUAUCUAGUUAUUACACAUGUGGAGCUUGUAACUGUGAUUGCCAUACUUGUAGAGCUUGUAGCUAGUUAUUACACUUGUAUAGCUUCUGGAGAAUGUUUGGAGUAUCACGUGUAGAGCUUGUAUAUGUUAGAGCUUAUUAUGUGUAGAGCUUGUAAAGUAUAUGUUAUUUGUACAAUAGGAGCUCUGUACUGAAUCUGGCUGAUAAUAUUUGGAGUAUUAUGUGUGUGUUU
Triticum dicoccoides is the source of this 2751-nucleotide long non-coding RNA. RefSeq lists it as uncharacterized. The transcript has 4 exons. NCBI's taxonomy places the organism in Eukaryota, Viridiplantae, Streptophyta, Magnoliopsida, Poales, Poaceae. The record is from RefSeq and is a predicted model, not a curated record.